This 520-nucleotide ribosomal RNA is filed under the name uncultured Glomus. RNAcentral's name for it is "SSU rRNA". It matches the Rfam family "Eukaryotic small subunit ribosomal RNA", at positions 569 to 1093 of the family's 1831-position model. The record is from RNAcentral. Lineage: Eukaryota; Fungi; Glomeromycota; Glomeromycetes; Glomerales; Glomeraceae.
AGCAGCCGCGGUAAUUCCAGCUCCAAUAGCGUAUAUUAAAGUUGUUGCAGUUAAAAAGCUCGUAGUUGAAUUUCGGGAUCAAUUUGUUGGUCGUGCCUCGGUACGUACUGGCAUUAUUGGUUUCUACCUUCUGAAGAACCUUGAUGUCAUUAAUUUGGUGUCUUGGGGAAUCAGGACUGUUACUUUGAAAAAAUUAGAGUGUUUAAAGCAGGCAUACGCUUGAAUACAUUAGCAUGGAAUAAUGAAAUAGGACGUUUGAUUCUAUUUUGUUGGUUUCUAGGAUCGACGUAAUGAUUAAUAGGGAUAGUUGGGGGCAUUAGUAUCCAAUUGUCAGAGGUGAAAUUCUUGGAUUUAUUGAAGACUAACUACUGCGAAAGCAUUUGCCAAGGAUGUUUUCAUUAAUCAAGAACGAAAGUUAGGGGAUCGAAGACGAUCAGAUACCGUCGUAGUCUUAACCAUAAACUAUGCCGACUAGGGAUCGGAUGAUGUUAUUUUUAAUGACUCAUUCGGCGCCUUACGG